This 1438-nucleotide ribosomal RNA is filed under the name uncultured organism. RNAcentral describes it as "16S ribosomal RNA". It matches the Rfam family "Bacterial small subunit ribosomal RNA". The record is from RNAcentral.
GCGGCGUGCUUAACACAUGCAAGUCGAACGGAAAGGCCCUGCUUUUGUGGGGUGCUCGAGUGGCGAACGGGUGAGUAACACGUGAGUAACCUGCCCUUGACUUUGGGAUAACUUCAGGAAACUGGGGCUAAUACCGGAUAGGAGCUCCUGCUGCAUGGUGGGGGUUGGAAAGUUUCGGCGGUUGGGGAUGGACUCGCGGCUUAUCAGCUUGUUGGUGGGGUAGUGGCUUACCAAGGCUUUGACGGGUAGCCGGCCUGAGAGGGUGACCGGCCACAUUGGGACUGAGAUACGGCCCAGACUCCUACGGGAGGCAGCAGUGGGGAAUAUUGCACAAUGGGCGGAAGCCUGAUGCAGCAACGCCGCGUGCGGGAUGACGGCCUUCGGGUUGUAAACCGCUUUCGCCUGUGACGAAGCGUGAGUGACGGUAAUGGGUAAAGAAGCACCGGCUAACUACGUGCCAGCAGCCGCGGUGAUACGUAGGGUGCGAGCGUUGUCCGGAUUUAUUGGGCGUAAAGGGCUCGUAGGUGGUUGAUCGCGUCGGAAGUGUAAUCUUGGGGCUUAACCCUGAGCGUGCUUUCGAUACGGGUUGACUUGAGGAAGGUAGGGGAGAAUGGAAUUCCUGGUGGAGCGGUGGAAUGCGCAGAUAUCAGGAGGAACACCAGUGGCGAAGGCGGUUCUCUGGGCCUUUCCUGACGCUGAGGAGCGAAAGCGUGGGGAGCGAACAGGCUUAGAUACCCUGGUAGUCCACGCUGUAAACGGUGGGUACUAGGUGUGGGGUCCAUUCCACGGGUUCCGUGCCGUAGCUAACGCUUUAAGUACCCCGCCUGGGGAGUACGGCCGCAAGGCUAAAACUCAAAGGAAUUGACGGGGCCCCGCACAAGCGGCGGAGCAUGCGGAUUAAUUCGAUGCAACGCGUAGAACCUUACCUGGGUUUGACAUGGAUCGGGAGUGCUCAGAGAUGGGUGUGCCUCUUUUGGGGUCGGUUCACAGGUGGUGCAUGGCUGUCGUCAGCUCGUGUCGUGAGAUGUUGGGUUAAGUCCCGCAACGAGCGCAACCCUUGUUCACUGUUGCCAGCACGUUAUGGUGGGGACUCAGUGGAGACCGCCGGGGUCAACUCGGAGGAAGGUGGGGAUGACGUCAAGUCAUCAUGCCCCUUAUGUCCAGGGCUUCACGCAUGCUACAAUGGCUGGUACAGAGAGUGGCGAGCCUGUGAGGGUGAGCGAAUCUCGGAAAGCCGGUCUCAGUUCGGAUUGGGGUCUGCAACUCGACCUCAUGAAGUCGGAGUCGCUAGUAAUCGCAGAUCAGCAACGCUGCGGUGAAUACGUCCCCGGGGCUUGUACACACCGCCCGUCAAGUCAUGAAAGUUGGUAACACCCGAAGCCGGUGGCCUAACCGUUGUGGGGGAGCCGUCGAAGGUGGGACUGGUGAUUAGGACUAA